RNAcentral lists this ribosomal RNA (392 nucleotides) under uncultured bacterium. Its description in RNAcentral is "partial 16S ribosomal RNA". It matches the Rfam family "Bacterial small subunit ribosomal RNA", at positions 523 to 918 of the family's 1533-position model. The record is from RNAcentral.
AUACGGAGGAUCCGAGCGUUAUCCGGAUUUAUUGGGUUUAAAGGGUGCGCAGGCGGCCAUUUAAGUCAGCGGUUAAAUCGUGGGGCUCAACACCAUUCUGCCGUUGAUACUGGGUGGCUUGAUUGCGGUCGAGGUUGGCGGAAUUCGUUGUGUAGCGGUGAAAUGCAUAGAUAUGACGAAGAACACCGAUUGCGUAGGCAGCUGACCAGACCGCAAAUGACGCUCAUGCACGAAAGUGCGGGGAUCGAACAGGAUUAGAUACCCUGGUAGUCCGCACAGUAAACGAUGAAUACUUGUUUUCGGCGAUAUAAUGUCGGAGGCAAAGCGAAAGCGAUAAGUAUUCCACCUGGGGAGUACGCCGGCAACGGUGAAACUCAAAUGAAUUGACGGGG